This 496-nucleotide ribosomal RNA is filed under the name uncultured bacterium. Its description in RNAcentral is "partial 16S ribosomal RNA". It matches the Rfam family "Bacterial small subunit ribosomal RNA", at positions 28 to 507 of the family's 1533-position model. The record is from RNAcentral.
GAUGAACGCUGGCGGCGUGCCUAAUACAUGCAAGUCGAGCGAACAGACGAGGAGCUUGCUCCUCUGACGUUAGCGGCGGACGGGUGAGUAACACGUGGAUAACCUACCUAUAAGACUGGGAUAACUUCGGGAAACCGGAGCUAAUACCGGAUAAUAUAUUGAACCGCAUGGUUCAAUAGUGAAAGACGGUUUGCUGUCACUUAUAGAUGGAUCCGCGCCGCAUUAGCUAGUUGGUAAGGUAACGGCUUACCAAGGCAACGAUGCGUAGCCGACCUGAGAGGGUGAUCGGCCACACUGGAACUGAGACACGGUCCAGACUCCUACGGGAGGCAGCAGUAGGGAAUCUUCCGCAAUGGGCGAAAGCCUGACGGAGCAACGCCGCGUGAGUGAUGAAGGUCUUCGGAUCGUAAAACUCUGUUAUUAGGGAAGAACAAAUGUGUAAGUAACUAUGCACGUCUUGACGGUACCUAAUCAGAAAGCCACGGCUAACUACGUG